GGGCCAGUUUGGGUGCUGUACGGCUCAAUGCCUCUAUCUGUCAGUCUGCUCACAGAAGGUCUGCAUCCAGAAGUUCGACAGCCCAUCCCUAUGUGUCCUUGAGAGGCCUGGAGGUAGGUUACCUUCUUUAGUCACCAUGGUGAAGGGAUUCCCAUGGUACCUUGUAGUUUGACGGAGUUGCCUAGGUGCAGCUUAAUAGUUAACUACAUUUCCUUGGAGACACAGAAUACGACAAAUGCUGAAACCUGGAACUACAUGUAAAAUACUGGACGAACUCUCAUUUCUCCCCCGUUCCAACAGGCAGAAAAUAUGAAAGUUUGCGAACACACCGUCAUGCUCUAGGACUGCCUCUGUCCCACCGUUAUCAGACGCUGAGCAGAAAUCUUGUCUGAUAAAGAUAAGUUCUCGAUCUCACAGUCUCGCUCAUCGUACCUACUGUGGUGGUCUCUCGCACUGCGUUCCCGAGGGAAGGUCCUUGCAUCAGAAUGGUCUCUCUCCCUCCCUCGAUGCUGUUGGAGGAUGGCGCCGGAGCAAGGUUCAAUCGACGUGAUUGCUCAAACUGGUAAAAACAAUUAUUAAUAUUAUUAACAAGAGAGAUUCUGCAGAUACUGGAAAUUUGAGCAAAACACAGAAAAUGCUGGAGGAACUCAGCAGGCCAGGUGGCAUCUAUGGAAAAAAGUACAGUCGACAGUACAGGAAGUAAUGUCCCGCAAACCCCGUCAGAGCUGACGUUCAUCUGAUGUCACCACCAACCUCGCUUGGAAUUGUUUAUUCGUUCUUGAAGUAGCCCUCUGCAAGCCAGACCUGGUUUUCUUGGAGAGACCUGGGUCACCAGGUGCUCUGGAUUCCUCCCACAUUCCAAACACGUGCAGUCAGGGUUUCUGCCUGACCUGCUGAGUCCCUCCAGCAUUUUGUGUGUGUUAAUCUGGAUCCAGUGACAGAGAAGGAGCUGAGAUGUGAUUUGGAGGGGAGCUGGCAGGUGUGCUGAUGGAGAAGACUCGAUGGGCCAAAUAGCCUAGUUCUGCUGAAACGUCUUAUGGUCUAUCUCAAGCCAAGAAACUGUAAAAUACUGCAUGACUAAUCCAAAGCAACACACAUAAAAUACAUGAGGAAUUCAGUAAGUCAGGCAGCAUCUAUGGAAAUAAAUAAACAGUAGCCGUUUUGGGCCGUGACCUUUCUUUAAUAUCAGGUUUAAUAUCACAGGCAUAUGUCGUGAGAUGCAUUGACUUUGCAGCAGCAUUACAAUGCAAUACACAAUAAUAGAAAAACACCGUGAAUUACAAUUAGUAUAUAUAUGUUAAAUACUCAAAUUAAGUAUGGAAUGCAAAAUAAAAAAUAAAAAAAUAAGUGAGGUAGUGUUCAUGGUUCAAUUCAGAAAUCUGAUGGCAAAGGGAAAGAGGCUGUCCCUGAAUCAAUGAGUGUGCGCUUUCAGGCUCCUGUACCUCCUCCCUGACGGUAGCAAUGAGAACAAGGCAUGACCUGGAUGAUGGGGAGUCCUUAACGAUGGAUGUUGCCUUUUUGAGGAAACACUCAGGACUGGGAUGGAAG
Long non-coding RNA from Hypanus sabinus (Atlantic stingray), 1548 nucleotides. RefSeq lists it as uncharacterized. Lineage: Eukaryota; Metazoa; Chordata; Chondrichthyes; Myliobatiformes; Dasyatidae. The transcript has 6 exons. The record is from RefSeq and is a predicted model, not a curated record.